RNAcentral lists this ribosomal RNA (256 nucleotides) under uncultured bacterium. Its description in RNAcentral is "partial 16S ribosomal RNA". It matches the Rfam family "Bacterial small subunit ribosomal RNA", at positions 524 to 776 of the family's 1533-position model. The record is from RNAcentral.
UACGUAGGGUGCAAGCGUUUGUCCGGAAUUAUUGGGCGUAAAGAGCUCGUAGGCGGUUUGUUGCGUCGGCUGUGAAAUCCCGAGGCUCAACCUCGGGUCUGCAGUCGAUACGAGCAAACUAGAGUGUUGCAGGGGAGACUGGAAUUCCUGGUGUAGCGGUGAAAUGCGCAGAUAUCAGGAGGAACACCGGUGGCGAAGGCGGAUCUCUGGGCCGUAACUGACGCUGAGGAGCGGAAAGCAUGGGGGAGCGAACAGG